UGGGGAAUAUUGCGCAAUGGGCGAAAGCCUGACGCAGCGACGCCGCGUGAGGGAUGAAGGUCUUCGGAUCGUAAACCUCUGUCAGAAGGGAAGAAUGGCACCCGUGCUAAUCAGCGGGUGAUUGACGGUACCUUCAAAGGAAGCACCGGCUAACUCCGUGCCAGCAGCCGCGGUAAUACGGAGGGUGCAAGCGUUAAUCGGAAUCACUGGGCGUAAAGCGCACGUAGGCUGUUUUGUAAGUCAGGGGUGAAAUCCCACGGCUCAACCGUGGAACUGCCUUUGAUACUGCUGAACUAGAAUUCGGGAGAGGGUGGCGGAAUUCCAGGUGUAGGAGUGAAAUCCGUAGAUAUCUGGAGGAACAUCAGUGGCGAAGGCGGCCACCUGGACCGAUAUUGACGCUGAGGUGCGAAAGCGUGGGGAGCAAACA
This 427-nucleotide ribosomal RNA is filed under the name uncultured Desulfovibrio sp. RNAcentral's name for it is "partial 16S ribosomal RNA". It matches the Rfam family "Bacterial small subunit ribosomal RNA", at positions 355 to 774 of the family's 1533-position model. Lineage: Bacteria; Pseudomonadati; Thermodesulfobacteriota; Desulfovibrionia; Desulfovibrionales; Desulfovibrionaceae. The record is from RNAcentral.